UCCUUUUUUUUCCCCCCCCCCCCCCCCCGCCCCUUUUUGUUUUCUUUCAUUUGAACUACCCAUAGGCAGUGGUUCCAAUAGCAGACUUUUAAAGAAUGGGUUGUUGGUGUGGGUUGGGGUUGAUCUGGUCAAAGAUGUGGUUGUUUUGCUUUUUCUUCCUGGCCUGGUUACCAGCCCAGAGGACAGAGCAGCAGUAGCAGCAUGAAGCAGUAGCUGAUUCCAGGGCCAUUAAGAUUCUGGUGGCAUUAGGAUAUCUGCCUUGUUUUUUGUUUUUUUUUUUUCCAUGAGAAAAUGUAAUGCAAGUUAAGCAAAAUCUGAAUACAGUCUUUUUUUUGUUUUGUCCAAAACCUGAGGCAAUUAGAAAAAGAACAGAGAUUGUCAGGCAUUUAAACCCUCCAGCUCUCACAGCAUGGAGUGUGACAAGGCUGAACUGAAAGCAAAUUUCUCUUCCCUGAGAUCAGACAGACAACAAAUGGCUAAACAAAUGGCCAAGCUGAUACUUGCUGCUGAAUUUCUUCAGGUUAAACUCAGCUUUGCUGGAAUCAAGAUCAAUAUGCAAGAAAGCACAUUUGCAAGCGCUGAGAGUCAUGAAGAUCCUUGUCUUGGCACAAAGUGACCUCCCAGACAUGCCAUGUGCUGCUGUGCAGACUUGCAGACCUCCAAGCACACUCAGGUGGGCUGGGCAUGUGGCAGUCAGAGCAGAAAACAAGUAGAAGACUGCUCAGAAAUGCAGCACAUGGACACAGAGAACCAUGAUUAAUUACAGUUGCUACUGGAAUCAGCAAGCCUAAAAGAAAGCUUUUUGUGGUAGAUCAACCAUGUGAAAAACACUGUAUGUUUCUUCCAUGGAUACAGGAAACAUAUACUAACUAGUAAAGCUGAGGAGAAUAAAAUGUAGAAUAUUAUGUUUGGGUUUCUUUCUUAACAUGUCAAGUCAAUGCUAACAAGAAGAGAGUUUACUCAAAAUAAUAAAGCUAAUCCAAACUGCGCUUAAAAGCAGUAACAUGGUAACAUUGUACAGAGUGCCAUCUGUUACUAUCAGGAUAGGAAGUAAGAUGCAAAGGUUAAAAUGUUUUUAUUCCUGGAAUAUGGGUAUUCCGGGUCAACAGGAAAAAGAAUAUUUGCCUAUUACAAAAACUGUUUUCCCAUGACCUUUACGUUGAAUGGCCCAACUCAGUGGUAUCAACCUUAAUUUGACAAGAAUUAAGGGCUCAGACAUACCGUCAAGUUAUGUAAUUUUACAAGUUGCUGCCUGUCAGCUGCACUGCAGUGGCUAUCUGUGUGUGUCUGUGUGUGUGCCCUUGAUCCAUGGAAAAGGCAAGCCAAUGUAAGGCCAUGUGGCUCACUUUGAAAUUCCUCCGUUUAAAAAAAAAAAAAAAAAAAAAAAAAAAAAAAAAAAAAAGAAGACGAAGUAAAGAUGUUUAUAUUCAUGUAAAAGUAAGAAGGCAGUAUGUUUACCUAUUCCCAAAUAAGCAAAAGGAUGUAUUCUAUAUCCUUAUAUAUUAUAUAGACAAUUCAGAUACUACAUGUACAUGAUCUGUAUAUAUAGAUUAAAUAUGUAUAUUUUAUAUACUACUGAGCAUCAACAUAAAUGGAAAGCAAGUUUCUCUGAAUAUAUCUUUGAGUCUUUACAAAGCAGCAGAUUGGCUCCCUUCUCCUGAUCUUUCAAGUAGGAGGUAAGAAACUUUAUUAAACAUUACUGUUGGAGACUGUGGUAAACACUGGGGACAAAGUCUCCCAACAUCUGUAAAAAGACAGCCUUUUGCAUGCACGGCCUACACCCAAAAGUUCAUCAUGUCAAACCACAUUUUUCAAAUGUGCUCCAAGUGCUGACUAUAAUUUUGUUCUUUUAGUUUGUUUUAUUUUGCUGGGUUUGUUAUUUUUUUAAUAAAUGUACCAAAAAGCCCUAGGGGAGAAAAUGACUAUUCAAGUAUUUAUCCAUUGUUUGGAAAUUCUGAGAAAUAUGCUUAUAAAUUAAAAUCUUUGAAAUUUGAUUUAUUCAUUUCCAAGACCAUUUCUCUUGCACUGUGUAUUUUCACGAACUCCAGCUGCUGACAGCCUUUUAUGUUUAAAAUAGUAGAACAAUUGCACUGUGUAUGUGAAUUUAAAAUAUAUGUGAACUCCACAGUACUGGAUACACACCACAAUGUCUGUAAGGCAUAGUCAACCUCUGCUAUACAUUUUUCUUUUAGCAAUUCAGAGAUGUGAAAUCUUGGUAUUACCACGGUGAUCUAAAUCGAGCCACUGUACAGGCACAAAAGUAACAUUGUUUCAUACACAAAACUUCCAACUUCAAGAAUUGUCUAGUCAUGUGAAUAUAAAAGCCCAUGAGAGUAACAGCUCAGACCACUGCUACCCUCAAAUAACCUGAAAACACCCAAGAGUAAGCAAAAAAAUACUCAGAGGAAGUGGGAUGAAAUCCUGUCACCACUGAACUACACAUUCUACCCUCCAACAUAACUGGUUAUUAAUAAGAAAAGACAGAUCUCUCCUCCAUAACCUGGAAACACCCAGUGUGAUCUGAUGGCACCAAGUCUGUCUUGCUGUUGAUGACUGUGGUGGUGUCAACAAUUUCCUUUCUGACUUUUGCUUCUAGAAGCCAACUUUACAUCGCUGACAGUUGAGGGUGGGCAACACCUAUUUUCUUGAAAAUUUAACUUCUUUUUUAGGUGUUUUCACGUGUUAAAAAAAUGUCCCAUAAAGCUUAUGUCAGAACAUAUGAGAUUGCUAGAUACAGCAGAAAAUCUAUUUUCUUACAUCACCUCUAACUUGUACUUUUAACCACAUUCUUCGCAAUAUAUGUUCUGUGAAACAGAACACACUAUUUUAGGCUGUUCUCUUGUUCAAAUCCAACUCUAGAAUUUAUCCAUCCCACACAGGCUAUGAAAGCUGUUUCAUCUUUUCAACAGAAAAUGAAAGCAUGAAGUAUCUUUUUGUAUUUUUGUACUUGGUAUUCUGUAUAUGCAGCCCUAUUUAAUCUUUAGGACUAUCCAGUUAGAAAACAAAAACAUCCCUGUGCAGAAUUUGAGUCAGUUUGGUCUGUUUAUGACAGUUUCUGCUCUAUUCAGUCUCUGUAUACACUCUGUUACUCUCAGUCCCAAAACACAUAGACAGGACACUGCCCACAUAAGCCGAGGUGGAGUAUGCAUUGCUGAAAUGCAAACCAUGUUCAUGGGAGCAACUACUGCCAUCACCCGUUUGCUAAGGGAGGAGAUGGGGACCAUGAGCCCUUCAGAAUCUACCUGUAUAUUCACAGUUAAAUGACAAUGGCACGCAUGUAAACAGAAGAGUAAGCAUGUCUGAAGGUUGUCUCUUUAGCCAAUAAAGAAUAACCCACUUUCAUUAAUCAAAAGUGUAAUUGAAGAUUGUGAAUCCCAUGCAUACAGGUUACAGAUCUGUGACAAAAGGUUCAAACAAGCUCUUAAAGCUGCUGUGUAACAAGGUUGGAUUGGUGCAUAGAUUGGUUUUCAGUAGAUUGAAAUGCUAGUGUGGAAAGCUCUGUCCUGUGACCAUGACUGAGGGCUGGUAGAGCAGCUAAGCCUGCCCCUAGGCAGGGAACAUAACAGGCUCUUCCAUAUCUAUCUUCUAUGUAGUUAUUUGUAGAAAUCCCAGUAAAGCAAAAAAUUACAUGUAAAUCAGUCAUAAAAGAGUUUUUGUCCCUCUCUGAUUCCACAAGAAGUAAUUUCUAACACUUUACUUUCUAUCCCAAAUAUUUCCCUCAUCCUGGUUCAGCUGUGGUAACACCCAGUGAGUAAAGCAAAAGAUUUCAUAAUGAUUGCAAGCCUGUGCCCUAAGUUUGUUGACACAAAUUUACAUGAGCAUCACUAUGCAAUAUAUAUUGCACAUGUCUAUGCAAUACACUUUCAAGAACUAUGGCUUUUGUCCUUGCUUUAAAAAUGCUUUGUAAAGGUAACAGUACUCAAGCUACAUCACUUCUGUUUGCAAGCUGUUCUGUCAGCAGAAUAACAGAGUAUACUGUGAUACAAUUAAUUCAUAAAGUUUCUAAAGCUUUAGAAAAUAGUGAUUUUAUAUUAAAAAACAAAUAUAUGAAUAGGUGAUACAUUAAGAAAAAUAUUGAAUUGAAUAUGAAAUUCGGUGCAGGAAUAAUUUCCGUAUUUUGGUCAAAAAGCAGCUUCUUGAAUUGGCCAAAUAACUUAUCUUGUCCAGAGAGCUAGAUGUUUCAGCAGCUACCAGAAAAUUCAAUAAAGUUUUAGUGCCUUUCCAUUGUUGCCUCCUGACCUAAAAUUAAAAUCUGAAAUAACUGAGAAAGGAAAAUGAAAUCUUGACAGUUAGAAACAUCUUCACUCUUCAAACUCUCUAUAAUGUACUAAUAUUUUUUGUUACUAAAUAUGAAAAAUAGAAAUGCUAAGGAAAUUCUUCCAAGUAUUAGAAAUCCCAUGCAGAAAGAGCCUAGUUAUUAGAUGUGAUCAACAAAAAAUCAGUACUCAAAAGAGAUCUGGAAAUACAUAUGUGUGUGCAAGCAUGUUCAACACUGGACUAUUUAUUACAUUAAAAUUUAAAAAGGUUAUUUACAAAUUGAGAGAAUAUAUGAGAAAUAAAAUACAGAAGACUCACAACUUUCAGAUUGCAGAUAAUUCAGGGUAAUCUAAAAAUCAAUACACAUAAAAUAUUGAUGCCAUUGUAUUUUGGUAUCCAUUUUGAAAAGUGACAAAGGGACAAGGCCUAAGUAUGCAAAAAUUAAGCUGUAAAAUCUGUUAUUUUAAAAUACAAAUCUAUCUGGGAAGCUAAAGGCCUCUAUUAGGUCACAUACUUCCUAUACAGUGUGAAGAAAAGGUUAAAUACAGAAGAGAAUCUGAAAUAUCUGUCAUAUGAGUAACACAGUUCCUUAUGUCAUCAUGCUCAGCCUAUAGAUACAGAAACCUAGAGAAGGAUAAUGUACUUUGCUCUUCCCAUAAAUUACUCAGAGGCAGAGAGGAGCCUCCACUUCUCUUAAAACUCUAUGGGGAAAAAGAAUCUAUGAUCUUAUUUUAAAAUUAAAUUAAGAGACAAAUCAGAAGCAUGGCUUUAUAAUGCCUUUCAGAUGCAACUUUUGAAAGAGGAGGUAAUGGAGUUUCUGCCUGCUGAGAAAGCUUAAGAGCUCUUUGCCAAAAUGUAUGAAAUGAAGACUCUCCUACCACCUUCAUGGAGAUUGUUUUAGCCACUAGGCUAGAAGCUGAGCUAGGUAAAAUCUUAUUUCUCCUCUCCAGUUGAAUUUGCCCAGUUAUAAAGCUUUGGCAGAAGGAGUAAGGGCCCCUCUUUGCACAGCCGACAGUCACGGGAUAUGUAGACUGGAACAAAAUUAAAUAAACUAGACUUAGGCUUGCUCAGCACGUAUAUUUUUCCUGUUUACAAUUAUGUUUAAAUAUCACUAAGUUACCUUAAAUUCUCCACACAAGGCACAUGUUGGGGAGAGAAAUAAGUCUGCACUAGGGAAAACAAAAAGUAUGUUUAUGUAAUUAAGACAGUUUCAUAAUACACUCUGCUGAGCUGAGUUACAAUUCUGAAUUAAGGUUAAGAGUUGCAUAACCAAUGCUACUAGUAUUUUUCAAGUUUUUAACUUUGCAAUUCCAAGAUCUUUUAAACCCACUUUUUUUAGGGGGCUAAGUAACACGAAAUACAUGGAAUUAAAUAUAAAUUUUCAGAAUUCUUGUAACAUAGAGGUUAACACCUUUAGAAGUUGGCCAUGCAUCCCCAGCUUGUUGUAUUACUGCAGAAAUCAUAAAUGGUGUUAUUUACUGCAAAGAAAUUACCUACAGUGCAUCACUGCGCAUGCACAUGCAAACUGUAUUACAAAUGAAAAAGCUGUAGCUUUCACAUCAGAAAGCAGUUAUUAAUUCACCACUUAAAGCUGUGGGGAUAAAGUCAAGUUAUACAGAACAAAAAGCUGCUACGUACCAGAUCCUUGCUUUAUUACAUUACUUAAUCUGAAACAUAAUAUCUUCCCUCCUUAACAGAAGUCAGUAGGAAGUAGCCAUAGAAUACAGAAGACAUUCUGAAAGGUUAUCUUUGAAAAGUCAAGCUCUGCAAGUGAGAUUCAUCUGACCAAAGCAAAGAUCUGCUUUGCAGGGAAUCACCUGAAUUUUCUCUACAGGGGAUGGGGAGGGCUGGAGGAGUGUGUGGGUACGAGAAAGGCUCUUUUAGGGUGUAAUUAGUCUGAUUUGUUUUAAACACCACCCUUGAUCUCUACAUUGAGUAUAGAGUGAACUUCAGAUCACCAGCUCAGAGAUGUCGUCAUUGUACAUACUCACAGUCAAGAACGUGGCAUCCUAGUCUAGUUUUGUCAAGAAUCAGUGAAGGGUUUUGAGGGCCUUUGACUUCCUCUGUUUCAGUUUGUUAACAGAUAUUAAACAUUUUUAUACCUCUUCCAUUGUAAAGAUAAAAGUCAGUCACAACUGCAAAAUCUGCAACAAUUUUACAGUAGCAGAACACCAGAAAAGUCCAGCAUUACUUAAUAUCUCACAUUCUGCAUGGAAUAUAAAAGAGUGUGUAGGAAAUAAAGUGAGACUUACGGAAUUUUAGGUUUUGCCUAUCCUGUGCUUUAAAUGAACAAAGGCCUAGUGGGAAAUAAUAUGCAACUAUGUAAAUACAACCUGUAUUAGAGUAACUAUAUAUGAGGGAAUCUCAUGGUUGCAGGCCUCAAUUCUGGCAUAUUCUAACUUUAGCAAGUUCUCUUAGAAUGUGGGCUUUGGUUUGUAAGAGACAUUUUAUCAAAAGUAAAAAAGAUAUUUUUCUAAAUUUUUUAUUUGCAUUUUUACUUAUAUAGCAGGAGUGAAAAAAUUACACUAAAAAGUAAUUUUCCUCUUUAAAAUUAAUUAAACAGAAAAAAUAGUAAGAGCAGGUUUUAGGGAGAUAAACACAAUUAUUGACUAUUGAAAUGCAGUUCUCAUCUAAUCUGAUAUUGGCAUCUAGAUGAAAUUCAUAACUAUAGAAGUCUGAAGACAAAGCCAGAUCCAGCUAGUCACCUUAGGCUCUCUCUCUAAACAAAGCCAGGAACAGAAUCUCCUGAGAGCACUUAUUCUGAAAAGGCCUGAAAGACUGCUUAGUGUUAGUCACUGAAGCUUACCUUAUCUGGCUUGCCUGAGCUCUUGAGGUACCUAACUGGGAGCUUGGGCUGGCAGCUUCAGUGCCAAGCAUUAACUUUUAAAUGCCCAAAUUAGGGUGCACUAAUUUUAUGUUAAAUUUCCACAUGCAGACAGGGCAACUACAAAUCACAUCCAGUAAUAUGCACAUAGAAUCAUACCACUGGACUGAAAUGAAACUUUACUAAAACUGGUGGACACAACCCUUUAGUUAGAAAAGCUCUGACAAAGAGCUCAUGCUUUUAGGAAAUAGUCACGGACUAUACCUCAAAGGCACAUGUCACUGCCCAAAAUAACAAGUGAGAUUAUUUUAUGAUCUCUGUAAAAGAGGAGUUUGGCAGUACACUGCUUUAGCACAAGUGAACCAGUAAGAGUGAGAAUGUGUGAGGUCUAUCACCCAAAAAAAUUAAAGGUGAGCAAAGUAGAGGACAAUAAUUUGAAGGAUCCAAGUGAUCUGUAGGAGCAUUAUGCCCUUCUAUAAGGCUGCUCCAAGCUCAUGAGGUGUAGAGCUUUAUAUGAGGUUUAUAAUGAGUCAUUAUUGCUAAAGUCCUCAGCACCCAACUCUUGUUAUAAGGCUAUUGCAUUUUUUCCUAUUUCCAAUACAUUCCAGUCCUCCAGGCAAUUCCAGUCCUCUGGUGUGGUAUUUCAGUGUUCUUUUGCUUGACAAUGAUUUUCUCAAUAGAGAGUUGGCAGUAUGGAAAGUUUGAGCCUAGAUGGAUUCCAUGUUUUCUUCUGUAUUUUCUUAAAAACAAGAAAUUUAAGUGUAACACAGCCAAAGAAUUUUGUAGCUGAGCAACUUAGAAUCAUUGAAUCCUUAGAAGUUGAGAAGGACCUUCAAGAUCAUCAAGUCAAAUAGUACCUACCAGCACCAAGUAGAAUAAAAGCUCCAACACACUACUGUACACUUGUUUAGUAGUAUUUUAUAUUCACAUGCCAGUCACAGCUUGGACUCUGUACCCAAAGUCACAGCAGUCAGCAUGGAUUUAUACCAGAGGUACCAAAACUCAGUGCUUCUGAAGUUGUGCUAAUGUAAACAUUCCCUUUGUGAUUAUGAGAGAUAAAUUUGAAACAGUAUUUUCAGUCUGAAUGCAGUUUAAAAGCAUGUUAUUAAAUUAAUAUAUUUUAAACAGUCUAACGCUUCUGUAAUUAGAAAUUGUCUAAAAAAUACUGAAAAGCUGUAACAUUUACUUUUUUUCAGAUUGCCCCUAAAAACAAUAAAGUAAAAGUUAACUGAAA
Non-coding RNA from Taeniopygia guttata (zebra finch), 8315 nucleotides. The record is from RefSeq and is a predicted model, not a curated record. NCBI's taxonomy places the organism in Eukaryota, Metazoa, Chordata, Aves, Passeriformes, Estrildidae.